UUGCUCCGUCUAUUCAUCCCUUUCUUCCCUCAAACCCCGGGCAACCACCGAUCUUUUUACUGUCUGCAUAGUUUUGCCUUUUCCAGAAUGUCAUAUAGUUGGAAUUGUACCAGAGGAGUCUGUCGGGAAAACAUGCACCCUCUACAAAGGAGUGAUUCAGAUGACCUGGUCUCAGCUUCCAGCUCCUCUGCUCUCCAGCCGUUCACACACUCCCCAUCACAGGAAGAUUUGUUAAAAGCCAACCAAGAAAGAGAGAGAAUUUGAGAUCCUGCACAAACAAUCCUAGAAGGUGCCAGAAGCUGCCAGAAGCUUCUUCUUUUCCAAGAAGCCACCACUUUGACUGCAGCCACAAAUGACUGCCCACUCCUGCAGGAAGACAGGAGGACCCCAGAGCCCUAUGUGCUCUGCCCCUGUCUACAGACCUGCCUCUCACCGCAUGCCCACAGUCACCACAUGUCAGCCAUGGCAAACUACCUGGGGACCCCCAAGCGACCUGCUUGUGGGGCUCUGCACCCUGGUGCCAGUUCUUCUUUUAGCCUGGGGUCCUCCACCUGCCCUCUGCCUCAAUGGCUCAGUAGAGCCUUCAGAGCUCACAUAUCAGCUCCUCCAAAAAGUGGUGCCGGACCCUGCCUCCCGUCCCUGAAAACCGAGCUUGCACUGUCACAUUUAACAUGUUGUGCCUGACCUAUUCUUCUACACUUCUGUCCUCGUGACGUGGGGUCUGCUGGAGGCCAGUGAAUGUGAAUUUUAUCUUUGUACUUGCAGGGCACAACACGACACUAGGUAUGGAUUAGAUGCUCAGUAACAAUUUUAAACUGGUUUAAAAGUAAUUCCAACAUUGCAGAAGGGUCUAAGGCAAAAAAUGAAUAAAAGUUUCCUGCCACUUCUCAAUCUCAUUCUUCAGAGGCAUCCACAUACACGAGGAAAGCAGUCUUCUAGAUAUUGACUACGCCUGAAUGACCAUACUACAUGUGCACUCAGGCACCGAGCACAUAAGCAUAUGCACAGGACCAUAUAAGCCACGCUGUCCCAUGCUUGCCCUUUUCACUUUAGCAAUGUAUCUUUUUUUUUUUUUUUAAGAGGCAGAGUCUUGCUUUAUCACUCAGGCUGAAGUGCAGUGGUGCAAUCAUAGCUCACUAUAGCCUUGAGCUCCUGGCUUUGAGUGAUCCUCCCACCUCAGCCUCCUGAGUAGUUGGGAUUAUAGGUGAGCCACCAUGCCUGUCCAGCAAUUGAGCUUUAUUUUAUUUUUUUGAGAUGGAGUCUCCCUCUGUUGCCCAGGCUAGAGUGCAGAGGUACAGUGCAACCUCUGCUUCCUGGGUUCAAGCGAUUCUCCUGCCUCAGCCUCCUG
This 1348-nucleotide long non-coding RNA is filed under the name Homo sapiens (human). RNAcentral describes it as "HSALNT0300395". The record is from RNAcentral. Lineage: Eukaryota; Metazoa; Chordata; Mammalia; Primates; Hominidae.